Molecule: ribosomal RNA, 231 nt
Filed under: uncultured bacterium
Lineage: Bacteria
Description: partial 16S ribosomal RNA
Rfam family: Bacterial small subunit ribosomal RNA
Source: RNAcentral
UGAGUAACCUGCCCUUGACUCUGGGAUAAGCCUGGGAAACCGGGUCUAAUACCGGAUACGACCUUCCGCCGCAUGGCGGGGGGUGGAAAGCUUUAGCGGUUUUGGAUGGACUUGCGGCCUAUCAGCUUGUUGGUGAGGUAAUGGCUCACCAAGGCGACGACGGGUAGCCGGCCUGAGAGGGUGACCGGCCACACUGGGACUGAGACACGGCCCAGACUCCUACGGGAGCAG